Molecule: ribosomal RNA, 263 nt
Filed under: uncultured bacterium
Lineage: Bacteria
Description: partial 16S ribosomal RNA
Rfam family: Bacterial small subunit ribosomal RNA
Source: RNAcentral
GUCCAUGCUGUAAACGAUGAAGACUGGCUGUUGGAAGCCCUAGGGUUUUUAGUAGCGAAGCUAACGCGUUAAGUCUUCCGCCUGGGGAGUACGGCCGCAAGGUUAAAACUCAAAGGAAUUGACGGGGCCCGCACAAGCGGUGGAACAUGUGGUUUAAUUCGACGCAACGCGAAGAACCUUACCUACCCUUGACAUCCUCGGAACCUUCUGGAGACAGAGGGGUGCCUUCGGGAACCGAGAGACAGGUGCUGCAUGGCUGUCGU